Molecule: ribosomal RNA, 1011 nt
Filed under: Triticum aestivum (bread wheat)
Lineage: Eukaryota; Viridiplantae; Streptophyta; Magnoliopsida; Poales; Poaceae
Description: partial small subunit ribosomal RNA
Source: RNAcentral
AUGAAAAUCGACACCAAAAAGGGCCUGUUUAGAGACAUGGUGCGCAAAAUUUUCAAUGUUCCUUCUGGGUCAAGGCCAGUGGAGCUGUUGAGGAGGAAUGAGCCACACAUGUUGCGUGAACCCUAUCAAGUAGGGUCAAGGGCUCCAAUGAAGCGGUGUAUUCAAGUGCUCAAGAAUGCAGAUGUUGAUGAUGUUGUUACAAUAAACAGGUCAUGGGUUUUAUUAUGCAUCGCUCUUGUGCUAUCUCCUGGGACUGGCAACAUGGUACCCCUAGAGUAUAUUGCGAGCUUGGUGGACAUGGACAAGAUCGAUGAUUUCGCAUGGGAUGAGCACUUCUUGGCUACUGCGUUGAAGGAGGUUAAGAAGUACCAACGGAAGAGGGAGGAAGGGAGGAGUGGCUUUUGGAUCGGCGGUUGUCUGCCAAUGUUUGCGAUAAUUUAUAUGGACUUUGUUGAUGUGCCUCGGUCGUUGGUUUCUCAGCAUAGGAUUAACUACUCUCUCCCAAGGGCAUGCUUCGUAUGCAACAACGAUUUCAAGUUGGUAGAAGAAAUUGACAAGAACAAGCUCAGCCUCGAUAAGAUUGAAUUUGGAAAACAGAAUGUAAGAGCUCAUUUUUAUUGUAAGCAGAUUCCAGAGCACUUGAUACCAAUAUAUGAGAAGCACAAAAAGUUGCACGCAGUAGAAGUGAAGAAUGUUCUCUUGUCGUUCGGUCAGGUUAUCCAGUCAGUGUUCUGUAAGCGUGUAGCAUCUAUCUUGGUUGAAGCAAACUCCACCACAACAAGCACCAAGGAGCAGAUCUUCGAGGACGUUACAUUUCAUGCUCCAGCAGGCAAUGCAAGCAGUGCAGCCAACGUAGGAGCUGUAGAUCAAACCAGCGUUCCCCCCAAUACUAGCCCUGCUCCACACAUGAGUGUUGUAGCACAACAACCUGGGGAUGACAGGGAAGUUGCAGGUGAUCCCGAUAGCAACCAGAGUGGCAAUUAUCAGGACAUUGGUUUGGAUAAAAGGUAG